Molecule: ribosomal RNA, 485 nt
Filed under: uncultured bacterium
Lineage: Bacteria
Description: bacterial SSU rRNA
Rfam family: Bacterial small subunit ribosomal RNA
Source: RNAcentral
AACGAACGCUGGCGGUGUGCUUCACACAUGCAAGUCGAACGAGGUAGCAAUACCUAGUGGCGGACGGGUGAGUAACGCGUGGGAAUCUGCCUUUAGAUGGGGGAUAACGAGCCGAAAGGUUCGCUAAUACCGCAUAGGUCGCAAGAUUAAAGGAGUAAUCCGUCUAGAGAUGAGCCCGCGUCCGAUUAGCUAGUUGGUAGGGUAAAGGCCUACCAAGGCGACGAUCGGUAGCUGGUCUGAGAGGAUGAUCAGCCACAAUGGGACUGAGACACGGCCCAUACUCCUACGGGAGGCAGCAGUGGGAAUUUUGCGCAAUGGACGAAAGUCUGACGCAGCAACGCCGCGUGGGUGAUGAAGGUCUUCGGAUUGUAAAACCCUGUCGCCAGGGACGAAGGGUGGGGCGUGAAUAGCGUUCUACUUUGACGGUACCUGGAAAGGAAGCCCCGGCUAACUCUGUGCCAGCAGCCGCGGUAAGGAUGAGACGU